CCUCCACUUCCCGAACAGCCGCUGUGCGCCUCCUCCGACGAGCUCCAGCCGCCGUGAACAGCCCUGUUCCAAGUGCCUAUCCUUAAUCCUCCAAUUGGGUCAACACAGUGAUGAAUUCUUGAAACUGACGAGUUUGAUGAGUGAUGGGUCCCUUGGGCAUUUGAAUCCUCGAAGAUUGUACAUCCGCAUCAAACACCGUAAGGUCAAAAUGAUCAAAAGGGGAGUGUGCGAGGUUUCUGAAAAUACAGGGGGUGUACUACACAGUUUCUAAAGUACAGAUGUGACACACCGACCCACAAGCCACACAAAAUUGGGCAUGUCGGGAUCAUAGAUUGACCCACAGGUAAGGUCGGUUGACGGAGUGUAGAUCUAUUGCAGAGACUGCAGGGGAAGAUGCAAGCACUUCAACCGUGGAUGGUGGUUUCCUUCUUCACAUACGCACACACACGAUAGAAUGUGC
This is a long non-coding RNA of Andrographis paniculata, 460 nucleotides long. RefSeq lists it as uncharacterized. The record is from RefSeq and is a predicted model, not a curated record. The transcript has 3 exons. Lineage: Eukaryota; Viridiplantae; Streptophyta; Magnoliopsida; Lamiales; Acanthaceae.